AACGUAGGGGGCGAGCGUUAUCCGGAAUCACUGGGUGUAAAGGGUACGAAGGCGGAUUUGUAAGUUGGAUGUAAAAACUCACGGCUCAACCUUGGGGUUGCAUCCAAGACUGCAAGUCUAGAGAGCAGGAGAGGGGAGUGGAAUUCUAGGUGUAGGGGUAAAAUCCGUAGAUAUCGGGAGGAACACCAAUGGCGAAGGCAGCUCCCUGGUCUGUCCCUGACGCUCAGGUACGAAAGCGUGGGGAGCAAACAGG
This 253-nucleotide ribosomal RNA is filed under the name uncultured bacterium. Its description in RNAcentral is "partial 16S ribosomal RNA". It matches the Rfam family "Bacterial small subunit ribosomal RNA", at positions 524 to 776 of the family's 1533-position model. The record is from RNAcentral.